RNAcentral lists this ribosomal RNA (418 nucleotides) under uncultured bacterium. RNAcentral's name for it is "bacterial SSU rRNA". It matches the Rfam family "Bacterial small subunit ribosomal RNA", at positions 355 to 787 of the family's 1533-position model. The record is from RNAcentral.
UGGGGAAUAUUGGGCAAUGGGCGAAAGCCUGACCCAGCAACGCCGCGUGAGGGAAGAAGGGUUUCGGCUCGUAAACCUCUGUCCUAUGGGACGAAGGAAGUGACGGUACCAUAGGAGGAAGCCCCGGCUAACUACGUGCCAGCAGCCGCGGUAAUACGUAGGGGGCGAGCGUUGUCCGGAAUGAUUGGGCGUAAAGGGCGCGUAGGCGGCCUGUUAAGUCUGGAGUGAAAGUCCUGCUUUCAAGGUGGGAAUUGCUUUGGAUACUGAUGGGCUGGAGUGCAGGAGAGGAAAGCGGAAUUACCGGUGUAGCGGUGAAAUGCGUAGAGAUCGGUAGGAACACCAGUGGCGAAGGCGGCUUUCUGGACUGUAACUGACGUUGAGGCGCGAAAGCGUGGGGAGCAAACAGGAUUAGAUACCC